AAUUUGAAAUCUGGCACCUUCGGUGUCCGAGUUGUAAUUUGAAGAUUGUAACCUUGGGGUUGGCUCUUGUCUAUGUUUCUUGGAACAGGACGUCACAGAGGGUGAGAAUCCCGUGCGAUGAGAUGCCCAAUCCUAUGUAAGGUGCUUUCGAAGAGUCGAGUUGUUUGGGAAUGCAGCUCUAAGUGGGUGGUAAAUUCCAUCUAAAGCUAAAUAUUGGCGAGAGACCGAUAGCGAACAAGUACAGUGAUGGAAAGAUGAAAAGAACUUUGAAAAGAGAGUGAAAAAGUACGUGAAAUUGUUGAAAGGGAAGGGUUUGAGAUCAGACUCGAUAUUUUGUGAGCCUUGCCUUCGUGGCGGGGUGACCCGCAGCUUAUCGGGCCAGCAUCGGUUUGGGCGGUAGGAUAAUGGCGUAGGAAUGUGACUUUGCUUCGGUGAAGUGUUAUAGCCUGCGUUGAUGCUGCCUGCCUAGACCGAGGACUGCGAUUUUAUCAAGGAUGCUGGCAUAAUGAUCCCAAACCGCCCGUCUU
Molecule: ribosomal RNA, 527 nt
Filed under: Meyerozyma caribbica
Lineage: Eukaryota; Fungi; Ascomycota; Pichiomycetes; Serinales; Debaryomycetaceae
Description: LSU rRNA
Rfam family: Eukaryotic large subunit ribosomal RNA
Source: RNAcentral